This 84-nucleotide transfer RNA is filed under the name Canis lupus familiaris (dog). It matches the Rfam family "tRNA". Rfam says of the family: Transfer RNA (tRNA) molecules are approximately 80 nucleotides in length. Their secondary structure includes four short double-helical elements and three loops (D, anti-codon, and T loops). Further hydrogen bonds mediate the characteristic L-shaped molecular structure. tRNAs have two regions of fundamental functional importance: the anti-codon, which is responsible for specific mRNA codon recognition, and the 3' end, to which the tRNAs corresponding amino acid is attached (by aminoacyl-tRNA synthetases). tRNAs cope with the degeneracy of the genetic code in two manners: having more than one tRNA (with a specific anti-codon) for a particular amino acid; and 'wobble' base-pairing, i.e. permitting non-standard base-pairing at the 3rd anti-codon position. The record is from Rfam by way of RNAcentral. Lineage: Eukaryota; Metazoa; Chordata; Mammalia; Carnivora; Canidae. RNAcentral also lists the same sequence under 1 other name.
GCCUGGGUGGCUCAGUGGUUGAGCGUCUGUCUUUGGCUCAGGACAUGAUCCUGGAAGGCCUGGGAUCAAGUCCCACAUCAGGUU